Molecule: ribosomal RNA, 305 nt
Filed under: uncultured bacterium
Lineage: Bacteria
Description: bacterial SSU rRNA
Rfam family: Bacterial small subunit ribosomal RNA
Source: RNAcentral
GCCUACGGGACGCAGCAGUGGGGAAUAUUGCACAAUGGGCGAAAGCCUGAUGCAGCAACGCCGCGUGAAGGAAGACGGUUUUCGGAUUGUAAACUUCUGUUCUUAGUGAAGAAUAGUGACGGUAACUAAGGAGCAAGCCACGGCUAACUACGUGCCAGCAGCCGCGGUAAUACGUAGGUGGCAAGCGUUGUCCGGAAUUACUGGGUGUAAAGGGAGCGUAGGCGGGAAGCCAAGUCAGCUGUGAAAACUACGGGCUUAACCUGUAGACUGCCGUUGAAACUGGCCUUCUUGAUUGAAGUAGAGGU